CCCUGACAGAGGGGAGCCGGGGUACAGUAUGCCCUACAUCCCCCCUUAAUCUGGCUAUGGGUACAGGUUACACAGUGAAGGAGAACGGGCAAGCAGGUGACUGCAGGAAAUGUAUAUGACCGGUGUAUAUGGGGGUUUUUAGGAACAUUCAGAUCUCUUUGAAACCUAUGCGGAACAUACAGUAAGAAACCUGGACUCACUCUGCAGGGAGGAAACAGGCUGACCUUCCAUAAGACUUUCCAGAGGAGAAAUCUCUUAUCGAUUCAAAACUCUGGCGUAUACUGGAGAAUGACAGGUGAGGCACUGCCUGCCCCGACUGCACAUCAGUGAUGAGAACAUCUAAUUGAACUUAUCCCUUGGAAUUCAUUA
Molecule: long non-coding RNA, 369 nt
Organism: Pseudophryne corroboree (corroboree frog)
Lineage: Eukaryota; Metazoa; Chordata; Amphibia; Anura; Myobatrachidae
Exons: 4
Source: RefSeq, a predicted model, not a curated record